CCUACGGGAGGCAGCAGUGGGGAAUAUUGCACAAUGGGGGAAACCCUGAUGCAGCGACGCCGCGUGAGUGAAGAAGUAUUUCGGUAUGUAAAGCUCUAUCAGCAGGGGAGAAAAUGACGGUACCUGACUUAGAAGCCCCGGCUAACUACGUGCCAGCAGCCGCGGUAAUACGUAGGGGGCAAGCGUUAUCCGGAUUUACUGGGUGUAAAGGGGGCGUAGACGGCAGCGCAAGUCUGAAGUGAAAUUCCAUGGCUUAACCAUGGAACUGCUUUGGAAACUGUGCAGCUGGAGUGCAGGAGAGGUAAGCGGAAUUCCUAGUGUAGCGGUGAAAUGCGUAGAUAUUAGGAGGAACACCAGUGGCGAAGGCGGCUUACUGGACUGUAACUGACGUUGAGGCUCGAAGGCGUGGGGAGCAAACAGGAUUAGAUACCCGGGUAGUC
Molecule: ribosomal RNA, 440 nt
Filed under: uncultured bacterium
Lineage: Bacteria
Description: partial 16S ribosomal RNA
Rfam family: Bacterial small subunit ribosomal RNA
Source: RNAcentral